Molecule: unclassified non-coding RNA, 144 nt
Filed under: soil metagenome
Description: partial internal transcribed spacer 1
Source: RNAcentral
UAAUAAGUGUUUUAUGGCACUUUUUAAAUCCAUAUCCACCUUGUGUGCAAUGUCAGUCGAUCUUCUUCAUGGAGAUCGACCAAACAUCAACCUUUAUUUUUAACUCUUCGUCUGAAAAAUAUUAUGAAUAAACAAUUCAAAAUA